This 550-nucleotide ribosomal RNA is filed under the name uncultured bacterium. RNAcentral's name for it is "partial 16S ribosomal RNA". It matches the Rfam family "Bacterial small subunit ribosomal RNA", at positions 355 to 896 of the family's 1533-position model. The record is from RNAcentral.
UAGGGAAUCUUCCACAAUGGACGCAAGUCUGAUGGAGCAACGCCGCGUGAGUGAAGAAGGUUUUCGGACCGUAAAGCUCUGUUGUUGGUGAAGAAGGAUAGAGGUAGUAACUGGCCUUUAUUUGACGGUAAUCAACCAGAAAGUCACGGCUAACUACGUGCCAGCAGCCGCGGUAAUACGUAGGUGGCAAGCGUUGUCCGGAUUUAUUGGGCGUAAAGCGAGUGCAGGCGGAAGAAUAAGUCUGAUGUGAAAGCCCUCGGCUUAACCGAGGAAUUGCAUCGGAAACUGUUUUCUUGAGUGCAGAAGAGGAGAGUAGAACUCCAUGUGUAGCGGUGGAAUGCGUAGAUAUAUGGAAGAAUACCAGUGGCGAAGGCGGCUCUCUGGUCUGCAACUGACGCUGAGGCUCGAAAGCAUGGGUAGCGAACAGGAUUAGAUACCCUGGUAGUCCAUGCCGUAAACGAUGAGUGCUAAGUGUUGGGAGGCUUCCGCCUCUCAGUGCUGCAGCUAACGCAUUAAGCACUCCGCCUGGGGGAGUACGACCGCAAGGUUG